This 226-nucleotide unclassified non-coding RNA is filed under the name plant metagenome. RNAcentral describes it as "partial contains small subunit ribosomal RNA and internal transcribed spacer 1". The stretch from base 1 to 46 matches the Rfam family "Eukaryotic small subunit ribosomal RNA", at positions 1786 to 1831 of the family's 1831-position model. The record is from RNAcentral.
AAGUCGUAACAAGGUUUCCGUAGGUGAACCUGCGGAAGGAUCAUUAUCGAGUUAGGGUCUUCCAGGCCCGACCUCCAACCCUGUGUCUAAAUUACCAUGUUGCUUUGGCGGGCCCGCCUCUAGGGGCCGCUGGGGACCUUAUCGCCUCUGGCCAGCGCCCGUCAGUAGCCUUCUUAAAAAUUCUUUAAUAACUGUGUUGUCUGAGUAUAAAUUAAAAUCGUUAAAA